UCAGUGACACUAAUAACUAAUUUUAUUCGCACUUACAGUGUCGUUGUAUGUCUAUCCGUCAAUAGCUUUCAUGUACUAAUUGUAAUUUGCUUAAAAUAUGCAGUCACCGUUGGUUUUUUUCCAAGGAAGUGAAAAAGGUGGACAUGCUGACAGAUGACUUGGUCUAUACUACGAGGAAUGCGCCUUAUGCUAGUGAGGAAAUUGAUGUGGUUCCUGAGGAAUGGGCUAAGUUUUUUACCAGCAAGUAUUUAUUAUUGGCCUGAGCGCGUUUGAUCGAGUUGGCUUAGAUGUUAUAGAACAAUCUUUUAUAUUAAAAUGUAUGCGUACGUUGAAAUUGGAACGUACAUAUUUUUGAAUGUACUACAUGAACUUUGUUUUGGGAUAUAUAAUAUACAAAACACCAGUUAUUGUUUUUAUAA
Spinacia oleracea (spinach) is the source of this 419-nucleotide long non-coding RNA. RefSeq lists it as uncharacterized. The transcript is spliced from 2 exons. NCBI's taxonomy places the organism in Eukaryota, Viridiplantae, Streptophyta, Magnoliopsida, Caryophyllales, Amaranthaceae. The record is from RefSeq and is a predicted model, not a curated record.